Hermetia illucens (black soldier fly) is the source of this 643-nucleotide long non-coding RNA. RefSeq lists it as uncharacterized. The record is from RefSeq and is a predicted model, not a curated record. NCBI's taxonomy places the organism in Eukaryota, Metazoa, Arthropoda, Insecta, Diptera, Stratiomyidae. The transcript is spliced from 2 exons.
UGAAUAUUACAUUGGUGAUGUGUAUCACAAGUUCUCAGCCGUAUCAAAACCUUGAAGUACAGAAGAAAGAAUGCAUGGGUCAUGUCCAAAAUGCAUGGGUAAACGUCUUCGCCAAGUCGUCAAUGACAGUAAAAAAUCGUAAAAGUCAGUCAUAAAAGAAACAAAACCAACGGCUAAGGAGAUAAAUCCAACUAUAAAGAAGGAGAAUUAAAAUUCCAAGAUUUGGAGGAUUGCACUCAAAUGUACUCCAGGUAUUCGAAGAGUAGUUGAAAUAGCUACCAAUGUUGCGGUAUCUACUUUUAAUUUAAUCAAGCUGGAAUGGGAGAUUAAAUGUAAGUUAACAAAAUAAAUAAAAAAAUUCAUUUCUUAUUUCUUUCAGUUCUUGCUUUAGCAGCGCGCAACCUCGAGCGAAAGACACUUGAAACUUUAAACGCGUUUUUCUCGAAAAUACUUUUUCCGGCACGGGCAGCAUGAUCCAUUAAUAUUUCAAGGAGAUAUGAUGCUGACCAUGAACCAACAUUUUUUCUUAUGUAUUUUGGGUCACGUGAUUGUUAACAUCUUAAUUUUUGGAAAAAAAUUUGAAAUUGAAUUUUUUAUAAAGUUUAAAUACUAAUAAACAAUGUUUAAUAAUUUCUUUUAUUAA